This 429-nucleotide ribosomal RNA is filed under the name Actinomycetes bacterium. RNAcentral's name for it is "Actinobacteria bacterium partial 16S ribosomal RNA". It matches the Rfam family "Bacterial small subunit ribosomal RNA", at positions 355 to 776 of the family's 1533-position model. Lineage: Bacteria; Bacillati; Actinomycetota; Actinomycetes. The record is from RNAcentral.
UAGGGAAUCUUCCGCAAUGGGCGAAAGCCUGACGGAGCAACGCCGCGUGAGUGAUGAAGGUCUUCGGAUCGUAAAACUCUGUUAUUAGGGAAGAACAAAUGUGUAAGUAACUAUGCACGUCUUGACGGUACCUAAUCAGAAAGCCACGGCUAACUACGUGCCAGCAGCCGCGGUAAUACGUAGGUGGCAAGCGUUAUCAGGAAUUAUUGGGCGUAUAGAGCGCGUAGACGGUUUUUUAAGUCUGAUGUGAAAGCCCACGGCUCAACCGUGGCGGGUCAUUUGAAACUGGAAAACUUGAGUGUAGAAGAGGAAAGUGGAAUUCCAUGUGUCGCGGUGAAAUGCGCAGAGAUAUGGAGGAACACCAGUUGCGAAGGCGACUUUCUGGUCUUUAACUGACGCUGAUGUGCGAAAGCGUGUCGAUCAAACAGG